This 363-nucleotide ribosomal RNA is filed under the name uncultured bacterium. Its description in RNAcentral is "partial 16S ribosomal RNA". It matches the Rfam family "Bacterial small subunit ribosomal RNA", at positions 338 to 699 of the family's 1533-position model. The record is from RNAcentral.
CCUACGGGUGGUAGCAGUGAGGAAUAUUGGUCAAUGGCCGGAAGGCUGAACCAGCCAAGUCGCGUGAGGGACGACUGCCCUAUGGGUUGUAAACCUUUUUUAUAAGGGAAGUAAAAAUGCUACGUGUAGCAUGAUGCCCGUCACUUUUGAAUAAACAUCUGGUAACUCGGUGCCAGCAGCCGCGGUAAUACGGAGGAUGCGAGCGUUAUCCGGAUUUAUGGGGGUUAACGGGUCUGUAGUGGGUUUUUUAAGUUAGUGGUUAAACGUAUGUGUUUAACCUUGAUUUGCAAUUAAUACUGUAAGACGCGAGUUCAGACGAGGUAGGCGGAAUAAGUUAAGUAGCGGUGAAAUGCUUAGAUAUAA